UUUUUCUAUUUUCCUUUUGCGUUCACGUUUACCCUUUCUUUUCUUCGUCCAUCACCCAUUUAUCUCGAGAAAGCCUGCUAAAAUUCCUCGUUCCACUUUUUCCUUUUCAAAUCCCUAAAAACUUCUUUUCAAAUCCCACAACUAAAAGCCCUAGCUUGUCUAUCUCGGAAAUUUGAAAGUAAAGGAAAAUUAGAAAUUAGCCAUGAGUUCACGAGGAGCUGCUAGCGUUUUGCUCUCAAGGGCAAACAGGAUCAAGCAGAAGUUACAAUCUUCACUAGAAGCAAGCAUUCUAGAAGUAGAAGACGUAUCAUACCAACACGCAGGUCAUGCUGCUGUUAAAGAUAAUGCAGAAGAAACCCAUUUUAAUGUGAAGAUUGUCUCAUCCAAAUUCGAUGGGCAGAGCCUUAUGAAGCGUCAUAGGAUGGUUUAUGAAUUGCUGAACGACGAACUUCAAUCAGGGUUACACGCAAUUUCAAUCGUGGCUAAAACUCCACAAGAAACUGGUAGAGGUUAAGCUUUAACCAAAAACUAUCAAGAAAGAACUCAUAUCGCGUUUAGUCUUUUCUCUCAUUCAAACCCGUACCGUAUUACGUAAUUUGUUGGCUCAAUCACCUGAUAUUUUGUGAAAUCAGUAUAUUCAAUUGUCUGUUUUGUUUAAUAUAGUGCUUAGAACCUUCAUUCAUAUCUCUCUCUGUGUCUGUCUUCAUUUUUCCUUUUAUGUUAUAAGGGUUCACAGUAGCUUCAA
Long non-coding RNA from Papaver somniferum (opium poppy), 745 nucleotides. RefSeq lists it as uncharacterized. The transcript has 2 exons. Lineage: Eukaryota; Viridiplantae; Streptophyta; Magnoliopsida; Ranunculales; Papaveraceae. The record is from RefSeq and is a predicted model, not a curated record.